ACGUUCGGGUAAUUGCUGCAAUUGCAUUAUGCAGAUUGUAGAGGAAAGUCCAUGCUCGCACAAGCUGAGAUGCUUGUAGUGUUCGUGCCUAGUGAAAAAAUAAGCUAGGGCAGCUUUGACGGCUGACGGCCGGGGAGCGACCUAAGUCCAUUCGGAUAUGGUCCAGUACCCUAUAAAAGUGCCACAGUGACGUAGCCUUGUCAGAAAUGGCAAGGGUGGAACGGGUAAACCCCACGAGCGAGAAACCCAAAUUUAGGUAGGGGCACCUUACACCUUGGAAAUGAACGAGGUAAAGGACAGGCAUAUGCCUGUAGAUAGAUGAUUACCGCCUUCUGUAUGAGACUGAAAAAAUCGGUCGUUUGCAAUACGAAGGAACAAAACAUGGCUUAUAGAG
This 394-nucleotide RNase P RNA is filed under the name Peribacillus faecalis. RNAcentral's name for it is "Bacterial RNase P class B". It matches the Rfam family "Bacterial RNase P class B". Rfam says of the family: Ribonuclease P (RNase P) is a ubiquitous endoribonuclease, found in archaea, bacteria and eukarya as well as chloroplasts and mitochondria. Its best characterised activity is the generation of mature 5'-ends of tRNAs by cleaving the 5'-leader elements of precursor-tRNAs. Cellular RNase Ps are ribonucleoproteins. Lineage: Bacteria; Bacillati; Bacillota; Bacilli; Caryophanales; Bacillaceae. The record is from Rfam by way of RNAcentral.